Molecule: long non-coding RNA, 231 nt
Filed under: Brassica napus (rape)
Lineage: Eukaryota; Viridiplantae; Streptophyta; Magnoliopsida; Brassicales; Brassicaceae
Description: long non-coding RNA (BNAP_LNC010728)
Source: RNAcentral
CAAUGGAAUUAAAGAAAAUGGAAUGACAGCAAAAGGAAUGAAGGAGGUUAUGGAAUAAAACAAAAUGGAAUGAGUAAUCGCAGGAUAACAUUUUGGUGAAGUAAAUGGUAACCUUUUAGCGGAAUAGAAUGGAAUGAAAGUAACUAUAAUUUAAAUCAAAUUACUAAGAAUAUUUGCAGUAUGCUAAUAAAAUAUGUCGAACAUACAAAUGCACUACUUAACUUAAUUACU